CAAAAAACCACACACACAAACAAACAAACAAAAAAGAAGUAUAGCAACACAAACUUGAUUACUGCUAUGGAGAAAAAGUACAGAGUACAAAAAAGGCAUGUGUAGCAGUGAAAAAAAUGGAAUGGGAAAGGGUGUGUAGAACAUUCUAGGCAUCAGGCACAGCCUAUGCAAAGGCCCUGGGGCAAAACUGAGUGUGACAAUUCCUAGAAUUGAAUGAAGCCCUGAGGUUGGUAUCCCCAACAGCGAGGAAGGGAGUGGAGAAUGCUGUUCCUGAUCCUGUCACCCCUACUGCUUAAAACUCUUCAAUGACUCAUUGCCACUAGCUUUAGUAUAGGAUCCACAUUUGCCCUUGUUUAGGUCCCUGCCUUCCCCUCUGGCCUCACCACUCCUGAUCUGGAUGUUCUGUUGCCUCCCAGACACUGGUCCCUCCAUCCCCAAUCCUUUGCCCGAGUAACUCCUACCGGUCCUUCAGGACUCAGCCUAGACAUCACGGUCUCUAGAAAGCUGGAAUGGAUAUUCUCCUGUUUGCCUCUUCAAAUCCAAGCGCUCUCUGUAGGUUUUGCCAGGAGGGAGGGAAGCGAGGUCAGGGGCCUGCUCUGCAGUUAGCUGUGUGGCUGUGGGUAAGUUACUCAACUUCUCUGUACUUCAGUUUCUUCAUGAGGUAAAAUGGAGAUAAUAACUGCACUGACCUCAUAGGAUUAUUGUGAAGGUUAAAUGAAUUAAUAAUAUAUGUAAAGUGCCUAGAGCUGUGCCUGGCACAUAGAAGUGCCUUGUGUUUGCUGUUAUUGGUCUUUAGUCUUCUCCUGUCCUGGACUGGGUACUGUGUCAUUGGUUUCAGUCUUGCCUCUCCUCACAGGGCUGGGGAACUUUAGGGAGUGCCUAGGCCUCCCUGCAUUCCUGCAUCCUACUACUUUGCCCAGUGGAAGUCAUAUGGUAACUGCCUAACCAGUUGGAUUUGCUCUAAGAAGAAUGAAUUUCUGGCCAUCUCCCAUAUGGAAGUAAACAUGAACUCUGGCCUCUUCUCCCAGUUGGGGGACAAGGGGUUCUGAUCUCUGAGAUCUCUCUCCACACCCUGACUCCCAAUACCACCCUGCACCCCAGCCUCCUGCCAGCUGGCAGCAGGGCACAUCCCAAUGGCCCUGGAAUGGAAGAGUGAGGGGCACUGGUGGUGAAGGCAGGGUGGGUGGUGAGGACGAUGGUCUUGUGAACACCUGUGGACAGGGGGAUCUUCACAUUCACAAGGAAACUGAUGACCCAGGUGGGUCCAGUGGGAAGUGGCCAGGGUGGACAAGGCCUUCAAAUCUGAGAAACAAAGUAGUUGGGGGUGCCACACCCAGGGAAGAGAGGAGGAGUCUUUCCAUGCUGAAGGGGGACCUGGGGAGGAGAGAAGACCCUUUCUGAGUAGCCCAGGAGGCAGAGAAAUGCAUGCACUGCAGGUUCUGUGUCUGGACUGAUAACAACCAUUGUUCCUAAUGACCUUUGUUCCUGAGCAAUGUGUCCAAGGCUUGACACUGCUGUGUGCCACAGCCCCACGCUGACAGUGACUGCAGCACACACCGCAGUAUGCUAGUGCUAACCGUCCCGACAGUGCCCUCCCUUGGUCAUCUUAGUCUUCUGCAUCCUUAGUUCCUCAUACAGAAUUGGGGUUGGGGAACAGCCAGUUCCUGUUUGCUGGUUGAAGGAAGGAAUGAACCCAUAUGGUAGGGGCAGGGCAGAAGAGGCAGAGGAAUCAGAUAGAGCUGGGUUCAAAGUUCUGCUCCUCAUCUCCUAGCUCUGUGGUGCUGGGCAAGUCGCUCAGCUUCUCUGAGCCUCAGUAGUCUUGUCUGUGAAAUAGGAUACCCAGUACUUACUUCUCUGCGUUGCUGUCAGGUUCUGUGUAAACAAAGGGUGGCACAGUGAUUGGUGCCUGCCUAAAGGCUCAGGAAACAAAGCAAGAACUUUCUUCCACGUCUCUGCUUGUCCUUGAAUCUGUGUGUAGUGUGACUCACCCUUUCAGGACCCCGUCUUUCUGGCAUCUUUGAGUCCUCUGCUGCUCCCAAACUUCAAGCCUCAGCCUGUCCCACAAGGGAACAGACACAGGGUACAGAGAGCUGCCCACCUUCACCUUGAGGGAGCCUGGAGGUCAACUCUUUUGUCCAGCCCUCCCUCUGGGGGUCCUUGCCUCUCUACCCCAUCCUUCAUCUCAGCCAGCCCAAAGGGACAUCCCAGAGAACAACUCAAGCUGGAAGGUGCUGGAAUUGGUGGGAAAAAAGGCCCACGACGGUGAGGAAUGAGUUCCUGAGGCCUGGGUGCCCCACACCCCCUGGGCCUGCCUGCUCCCUGCAGAAGGGUCCCUGGUACCUUCUAUUUUCCCAGCCAGGAGGCCGCCGGUUCCCACAUUACCACAUGAAUGGGGCACAAGCCCCCCUGUCCACUCGAGCAAACAAUUUGGCUAGCAAAUUGACAUAAUUACAAGAGACAGCGAGGGAAGAAAAACGCUCCCCACCCCCUUGGCCCCCCAGCGGGCGACUCCCGCCGAGUUCCUCUGGGCUUUGUGGGCCGGGCGCUCAGGGCUGAUUAGAAACCUUGUGGCCUUUUCAAGAGCCCUAAGUGAUUGGUCCCUUAAUCUGAUUACAAUUUGCAGAGCCCCUCCAACCACCUCUGAAGGGCUGUUCUCAAGCGCCCCGCUAGACGAUGUGCAAGUACACACACACACACACACACACACACACACACACACACACCGAGCACCCACUUGGGCCUGCUGGGCGGGGGCUCUGCCACUUUCGUCCUCAUGCCUCACUCCCUCAGUCAGGCAUAUCAGGUCCCAUUCCCUGUGCCCCAAACCUCAGACACACAAAGGGCCUGACACUGCCCCUAAUACAUGGGGUUGCCCAUCUUUAGAGGGUCUCACACAGAUACAAUGCCCAGGCCAGGGGCUUAUGUGCACACACACUCCUGUGAGUGCACCUUCUUCUCAUCUCCCAUCCCUUCUCAGGGCGGCUGCCCUGAGCAUCCAGGGUUAGGCUGCCUGACCCCAUCAAGGGCAGCCUCUCUCCCCAGCAGCGGUAUUUCUGGGGCUCCUUGGGCUGCAGCUCCCACGGGAUUAGGCCCAGCAGGCUGCCUGGACACCGUUCAGGCACAGGCUGCCCAGGGACAGGACUUGGGCUGCUCCCAGCUUGGGAACUCAGCUCACAGGGACUUUAGUCAAUGGCCUCAGCCAUCCACAUCCAAUUUGUAUCUCUUAAUCCCUGGGACUGAGCCACAAUGGCUCCUUUUCCUGUACUUGCUGGGGCUCUCAUAGGCCCCAGCCUGGCCUCCCACCCCAAAUAGAGCUCCCACUGGGCAGCAGCUCGGGAUAGGAGUGGGGUGGGGGGAAAAGCAGGGGCCAAGGCAGAAGUGGACUGAAGUGGGGGCUCUGCCCUUGUUAACUGUUCCACCCUAGAAGAUGCAAGUUGGGCGUGUGUAUGAGAAUAGGGAACAUGUGUAGGGCCUUCCGGAGUGACCCCCAGUCUGCUGUAACCCCAUCUUUUGUGCAUCCCAGUCUGGAGGCCCUGGGAAGGGUAUUGUCUACUUAGGAACCCCAUCCUUUUGUCAGGUCAUCCUAAAUACCUGGAGCCUGGAGUCAGAGAGCAGGGAACACGGAGCCCAGGUUCAGACACUGGAAUCAGAAGGAUCUGUGACCUUGACUGAGUAACUUAUCUGAUCUAGGCUUCAGUUUCCCCAUGUGUAAGAUGGGAAUGCUGCAGCCUCUCUCUCUCUCAGGGUUGCUGGGAGGCUAAAUGAGCUGAGGCACAUAAGACCCUCAGCACGGUGCCCAGCGCAGUCAGUGCUCCAUGCCAGGUUGUGUCAUUGUUCACAAGUCAAGAACAAAGAGGGGACUUGAAGUACAACCAUCAAACACACGGAUGGGGCAGUCUGUGUGCACCCCCUGUAUCCCUGUGGAGAGAAACUUGGGCUCUGCAGGGCUAAGGAACUUCACUUUACAGUUGGGUUUUCCAGGAGGACCUUCUCAGUUGCCCACGUUUGUCAUAUCUAGCUGAUUAUGUGACCUAGUGCUGGUUUUAGAAAGAGGGGCCUCAACCCAGAUCUCUGCCAGGGAGGUGAGGCAGGAGAAUAGGGUCUGAAAGCAGGGAACUUAUGGCCAACGCAUGGUGACUGGAUAUCAGAGGCUACUGACUUUUCAACCCCUCCUUUGUGUGGCAGUUGAAAAAUGAAAGUACCACUGAUUGGUCCCCUCCCACAACCAAUCAGACUGGUCGUGGGCCUACUCUUCCCCUCUGGCAACCAAUCAGACUGGCCGCAGGCCACUACUUCAUUUGCAUAGAGUGAACCAAUGGGAAACUUCUAGAGGGUAUUUAAACCUCAGAAAAUUCUGUAACCCAUGCUCUUGAACCACUUGCUCGAGGCUGCUCCCACCCUGUGGAGUGUACUUUUGUUUAAAUUAAAUCUUUGCUUUCACUGCCUUGUUUUGUUUGUGUGUUUUGUCCAGUUCUUUGUUCAAAACGCCAAGAACCCAGGCAACUACCCUUAACUGGUUACAUAUGUUGGGGAACCAGUCAGGAGGUAAGCCCAACGUUUAGGAUUUAUUUUUCUCUUUUUCCUCUUUCUCUCUUUUUCUCUCCAACUCAGGACCUUCGGUGGAUAGCGCCUAUGCACAGAGGCAACUGCAGGUUUCUGGCCAGGGCUACUUUAUGGUGAAACCAAGAGGUUUCUAUGUGGAAGCACCUAACCCCCACUGCCUGGCUUGGAGACCAUCAAGCUUCAGAUGAUCCUGUGACAAGGUUUUCAGCCUGUUCCAAAUGAAGACAGCACCCCUGGCCAUCAAGAAACUACCCUGUCUCCACUCAAUAGAUCAGGGCGGGAGUUCAGUGAUCCCCAGUAGGUAGGGACUGCGCCUCAAGUCAGUGUGACACAGUUACAGAAGAAAGACCAUCAGUCCAUCUGUCCCCUAUAAAGAUUUCCGGGGAUCGUGUCUCUCAGGGGGGAAAUGAGGCAGGAGAAUAGGGUCGGGAGGCAGGGAACCUAAGGCUGAUGCAUGCUGACUAGAUAUCAGAGGCUACUGCCUUUCAAUCCCUCCUUUUUCUGCAUGGCAGUUGCUGCUUGGCAGUUGGAAAUGAAAGUACCUUGGAUUGGUCCUCUUCUGCGACCAAUCAGACUGGUCUCGGGCCACUACUUUAUGUGCAUAGAGUGAACCAAUGGGAAACUCCUGGAGAGUGUUUAAAGCCCAGAAAAUUCUGUAGCCCAAGCUCUUGAGCUGCUUGCUGGAGCCCGCUCCCACCCUGUGGAGUGUACUUUCGUUUAAAAUAAAUCUCUGCUUUUGCUGCCUUA
This is a long non-coding RNA of Cercocebus atys (sooty mangabey), 5310 nucleotides long. RefSeq lists it as uncharacterized. Lineage: Eukaryota; Metazoa; Chordata; Mammalia; Primates; Cercopithecidae. The transcript has 2 exons. The record is from RefSeq and is a predicted model, not a curated record.